RNAcentral lists this ribosomal RNA (120 nucleotides) under Bos grunniens (domestic yak). Lineage: Eukaryota; Metazoa; Chordata; Mammalia; Artiodactyla; Bovidae. The record is from RNAcentral.
GUCUCAGGCCCGAUCAGCCUGAAGGCGCCCGAUCUCGUCUGAUCUCGGAAGCUAAGCAGGGUCGGGCCUGGUUAGUAUCUUGGAUGGGAGACCACCUGGGAAUCCCGGGUGCUCGAGGCU